UGUUUUGAGAGUUUGAUCCUGGCUCAGGAUGAACGCUGGCGGCGUGGAUAAGGCAUGCAAGUCGAGUGGGUUUAGGCCCACGGCAAACGGGUUCGGAAUACAUA
This 104-nucleotide ribosomal RNA is filed under the name Candidatus Moraniibacteriota bacterium. RNAcentral describes it as "partial 16S ribosomal RNA". It matches the Rfam family "Bacterial small subunit ribosomal RNA", at positions 1 to 119 of the family's 1533-position model. Lineage: Bacteria; Candidatus Moraniibacteriota. The record is from RNAcentral.